This 433-nucleotide ribosomal RNA is filed under the name uncultured bacterium. RNAcentral describes it as "partial 16S ribosomal RNA". It matches the Rfam family "Bacterial small subunit ribosomal RNA", at positions 29 to 507 of the family's 1533-position model. The record is from RNAcentral.
AACGAACGCUGGCGGCAUGCCUAACACAUGCAAGUCGAACGAGACCUUCGGGUCUAGUGGCGCACGGGUGCGUAACGCGUGGGAACCUGCCCUUAGGUUCGGAAUAACUCCCCGAAAGGGGUGCUAAUACCGGAUAAUGUCUUCGGAUCAAAGAUUUAUCGCCUUUGGAUGGGCCCGCGUUGGAUUAGCUAGUUGGUAGGGUAAAAGCCUACCAAGGCGACGAUCCAUAGCUGGUCUGAGAGGAUGAUCAGCCACACUGGGACUGAGACACGGCCCAGACUCCUACGGGAGGCAGCAGUGGGGAAUAUUGGACAGUGGGCGAAAGCCUGAUCCAGCAAUGCCGCGUGAGUGAUGAAGGCCUUAGGGUUGUAAAGCUCUUUUACCCGGGAUGAUAAUGACAGUACCGGGAGAAUAAGCUCCGGCUAACUCCGUG